UAAAUAUGCGUCAGAGGAGGUGGUUGGAUGUGGUCAAGGAUUAUGAUUGUGAGAUCCUGUACCACCCAGGCAAGGCUAAUGUGGUAGCCGACGCGUUGAGCCGCAGGGCGGAGAGCACUCCAUUGCGAGAUGUAUGCUUGAGACUGACUGUGAUGACUCCAGUAUUGGAUGCUAUUCGUGGGGCACAGGCCGAGGCUGUACGACCAGAAAUGCAGAAGAAAGAGCGGGUUGUGGGGUUGAUUUCAGAGUUCGUUAAGGAUGGACGAGGGCCUAUGACGUUUCAGGGUCGGAUUUGGGUACCGUUCGUGGGCGGUACGCGUAUCACUUUGAUGGAAGAGGCUCAUAGAUCGAAAUUCUCGAUCCAUCCCGGUGCUACGAAGAUGUAUUUGGAUUUGAGGAAAGAGUAUUGGUGGCCCUGUAUGAAGAGGGACGUCGCAUGGUUCGUUGAGAGGUGCUUGACCUGCCGUAGGGUUAAGGCCGAGCAUCAGAGACCGCAUGUCAAGUUACAGCCAUUGGAGAUUCCCGAGUGGAAGUGGGAACAAAUCACCAUGGAUUUCAUCACCAAAUUGCCGAGGACUGACAGGGGAGUUGAUGCAAUUUGGGUGAUUGUGGAUAGAUUGACGAAGAGUGCACACUUCCUUGCCAUCAGUGAGAGUUCUUCAGCGGAGAAGUUGGCGGAGAUAUAUGUGAGAGAGGUGGUAUCUCGGCAUGGGGUACCGAUCUCGAUUGUUUCAGACCGUGAUGUACGUUUCACUUCCAGGUUCUGGAAGAAAUUUCAUGAGGAGCUGGGUACUAAAUUGCAUUUUAGUACCGCAUAUCAUCCCCAGACAGACGGCCAGAGCGAGCGGACGAUUCAGACGCUGGAGGACAUGCUUCGAGCGUGUGUGUUGGACUUCGGGGGUAGCUGGGAUGCAUAUUUACCCUUAGCAGAGUUUUCCUACAACAACAGCCAUCAUUCGAGCAUUGGUAUGCCACCUUUUGAGCUGUUGUAUGGUAGGAGGUGUCGGACUCCCAUUUGUUGGGGAGAGGUGGGACAGAGAGUGAUGGGCAGCACAGAGAUCGUGCUUCAGACGACAGAGCAGAUUCAGCAAGUUAGACAGAGGUUAUUGACCGCCCAGAGCCGACAGAAGAGUUAUGCAGACAGGCGCCGAUCCGAGCUUGAGUUUCAAGUCGGCGACUUCGUUCUCCUGAAGGUCUCUCCUUGGAAAGGAGUGAUUCGAUUCAGGAAGAGGGGCAAGUUGGGGCCCCGGUAUAUUGGGCCAUUUCGUGUGAUUGCAAGGAUAGGCCGGGUAGCCUAUCGGUUGGAGUUGCCAGCGGAGUUGGGACAGAUCCACGACACUUUUCAUGUGUCGCAAUUGAGGAAGUGCAUAGCCGAUGAGUCGGCAGUGGUUCCAUUGGAGGAUAUUCAGGUGGAUGCGAGCCUGAAUUAUGCUGAGAGACCAGUGGCCAUCAGGGAUCGAAAGAUCAAGGUUCUGAGGAACAAGGAGGUACCUCUGGUGUUGGUUCAGUGGCAACACCGGAAGGGAUCGGAAAUGACUUGGGAGCCGGAACGUGAGAUGCGGGAGCAGCAUCCGGAACUAUUUUCAGAGUGAGACUUCGAGGGCGAAGUCUAAUCCUAGUGGGGGAGAGUUGUAACAGCCCGGAAUCUCAGGUAUUGUUAAAAUUAUGUUUUUGGGGUGUUUUAAGAGGGGACUCGGCGAGUUGGAGCCUAGACUCGCCGAGUAGGAUCGCAGACCUGGUCGCGGGUUCGCGACUGGACUCGACGAGUCCAGAUAUGGACUCGGCGAGUCUGCGCUGUUUAGCGAAAACCCUAACCGUUCAGGUUUGGGACGUAUAAAAGGGACUUAUUGGCCGUCAUUGUUCAUUUUAGCCUUCUGAGAAGAACCCUAAAUCGAUUGUGUGCAUCUGGAGCAAGGAUUAUAGGCCAUUGUUGAUUAUAGAAGAGUUGUUGUGCAAGGAAGAGAAGAGAUUGGCUAAAGGAACAGCAAGGGAGUCACAUUCUGAGGAUUGGGGACACAGAGAAUACAUCAUCCAGGUAAGAAUUCGAGUAUACUCUGCUAUGUUGAUGUGAUUAUGGAAUUAGGGUUUAUGGAACCCUUUUGUGAAUAGAUUGAAUGUUACCCUAGUCCCCUAAUCGAUUGUAACCCUGUAUUGGGACCUUUGGAGGUCCAGAAUGUCCCAUGUCUGUGCAUUUCGGGAAUUGAUGAAGGUUUUGGAUUGGAAUCCUUAUGCCUUAGGUCAAAAUGUAAAUUAUGAAUCAUAUGGUGUAUCAUGAGCACUGAAAUGAGGACUUUACGUGAUGGAUCAGCCUAGGAAGGCCAGACCUAGGAAUGGUCGGAGCAGUUCUGACCUUAGGAUGCAGUUUGAGCGGUUGCAUGGCAUGGACUCGCCGAGUUCGAUGAACAGACUCGGCGAGUAGCUUGAAGAUUAACUGGGACUCGUCGAGUUGUUCUUCAGACUCGGCGAGUUGAGUCGGGGUGGCCCCGCGAUUCUUCCAGGAGUAACUCGUCGGGUCAAGGAGGAUACUCGACGAGUAGAUAGGGAAUCUCAGAGAGUUGGAGGACGUCUAGACUCGCCGAGUCGCCAUGGCACUCGCCGAGUCCGGUCGAGUUGACCGUUGACCGUUGACCGUUGACCAGAGUUGACCUAAGUCUGACUUCUUAGGGAUAGUCACACUUAGAAGAUAUAAGUGUUAAUGAGAGAUAUGUGAUGUUAUAGGGAGGUUGUAGCUCGUCGGAUUGUGCACGAGUGAUUUCAGGAUUUGCUAGCUUUCAGCAUUCACGAGGUGAGUCUUCUCACUAUACUGUACCCGGAAGGGUUUGACUGUGUGACCGGAAGGUCAGAUAUGAUAUGUGAUAUGUAUGCUAUAUGUGGUAAGUUAUUUGUUAUAUGUGCUAUGUAUGUUAUGUGGGCCGGAAGGCAAUAUGUGAUGGGCCGGAAGGCGAUUAUGUUAUGGGCCGGAAGGCGUUGUGUUGAGGACCGGAAGGUCAGGGCCUGGAAAGGCGUAUGUGCGUAAGUUGUAUAUUGGGGAACUCACUAAGCAUUUAUGCUUACAGUUGUUAUGUAUGUGUUUCAGGUACUAGCGAGGACCGUGGGAAGGCGCCGGCGUGAUCGGUACACACUGAAGGAUGUUUUUAUGAUCUUGGGAUUUAGACAAUUUGUAUUUGACAUGACACUUAAAUUAUUUAUGCCUUGUUUUGAAUGAAAAUACUUUAUUUUUAAAAUGAAAAAUUUGUUUGAAAAUUUGCGUUGUUACAAUUGGUAUCAGAGCCUUGGUUUGAGGGAUUCGGGUGCACCUUCGGGAGUAACUGAACUCAAACCGAGGAUUUGAGGAAAACUUUUUAAAUAAAGGCAUAAACUUUUGUAAAUGGUUUUGUGGUAAGCAAGAAAGAAGCAGUGUGUACGAUCAGUCAGCGCCCGAACGGUAAAGAUCCCCAAAAUACCUUACAAUAUUAUAUGAUAUGAAUUGUUAUGCAUGCUAGAAGACUAGGUAUUCAUGAUAGGACUAGAGUGGCCUGAUUUGUGAUGCCUUAGUCUAGGGAAGUUUGCCGAUAUGAGAUGCUUUGCUAGUGUGCGGGUAGAUAGUGCAUAACAGAAGUAGAGUACUCACUAUCCGGGGUUUGGGGAGGAAGAUUUGGGAUGAAUGCUGAUGCGGUGUGGUCGGUAGUAUUGGGCCCGUACUACCGAAGACACCGGGUCAGUGGGAGACCCAAGUAAGAAUCCCUGGAUAUCGGAGACUGAGUAGGGUUGCGUUAUCGAGUGCGAUUAUACUCGAUGGAGUCUCUGAUAGUUUUAUGUUGUAUUUCAGAGACAUCAUGGUUAGACCACGCCACGGAGCGAGUUCGAGCGGUGUGAGUGACGAGGAGAUUCGUCAGAUGAUUCACGAGGAGGUAGCUGCGGCGAUCCGGGCUGAGAUCCCGGAGAUGUUUGGGUCUAUUAAGACCACCCUGAUGGAGACGUUUGAUGAGCGGUACGCCGCAUUGACUGAGGCUGCAACCGCUGCAGCUACCGCAGCUGUGGUCGCUGCUAGGCCACAGGGGGGUGACUCGUUGCUGUUCCGAGAGUUCAGCAACACGAAGCCACCAGAGUUCGAUGGGACGCAGGAUCCGAUUGCUGCGAUGAGGUGGAUCGCGGAUAUAGAGGGGUGCUUCUACACUUGUUCAUGCCCGGAGCACCUGAGGGUACGGUUCGCUUUGAACCAGCUCCGUCUGGGAGCGAAGGACUGGUGGAAGUUCGUGACGGCGAACUUCACUUUGGCAGAGACUACAGCAGUGACAUGGGAGGGGUUUACUGCUAUGUUCAGGGACGAGUACGUUCCCCCGGUGGAGAGGGAACGAUUGGUUCAGGAGUUCUUAACCCUCAAGCAGGGUACUGAUUCGGUUGCGGCGAUCACGCGGAAGUUUCAUGAGAGGGCGAUGUUCUGCCCCGAGCUGGUGUCCACAGAGCAGGCUCGGAUGAGCCGGUACUUGGGUGUUUUGAGGAGGGAUAUCCGGGAGUUUGUGUCAAACUCCACCUAUCAUACCUUUACUGAGCUUCAGGCGAAUGCCAGGAAGCGCGAGAUCGAGUUGGAGACCCAGGCCAGGGAGGAGGCCGAGUCUCAGCGGGUGGACCGGCGGCCGGCUCAGUCUCAGCCGGCAGCCAAGCGGACUAAGUCCGCCGAUUCGAGGACGGGAGGUCCGAAGGGCCGCACUUGCGGAAAGUGCGGCAAGGGUCACGAUGGGGCGUGUCGAGCUGGUGCUUGCUACAAGUGCGGCAAGGAGGGGCACAUUGCUAGGGAGUGCCCCAAGGGGUUUAUGGUUUGCUUUCAUUGCAACCAGACCGGCCAUCGGAAGGCCGAGUGCCCUCAGCUUCGUCAGGGAUCUGCACCUACUGCCAGGACUACUGAGACUCGACCGGUGAAGGUCGAGGCCCCGAGGGCUCGUGGGAGAGCCUUUCAGCUGACUGCGGAGGAGGUCCGCGCUGCGCCCGAUGUUGUGGCAGGUAUGUUGUAAUUCAUGUAUUUAUUUUAAUGUCGAGAUGUUAUGCUUAUGUUAUUAUAUGCGUAGGUACUUUCCUUGUGAACUCUGUGCCUGCCUUAGUGUUAUUUGACUCGGGUGCGAGUAGGUCCUUUGUGUCCUUAGCCUUUAGUCAGCAUAUCAGCGUUAGUCGUGAGUCGUUGAGUCGACCUUUGAGAGUUUCUAUAGCUGACGAGAAAGUGAUUUGUGCCACGGAGGUUCUUCGGGGAUGUGUACUAGAGAUUUUCGGGGUUGAAUUCCCGAUUGACCUGAUUCCUAUUGCGAUGGGUGAUGUCUGUGUCAUCGUGGGCAUGGACUGGUUGAGCCGAUUCGGCGCUGUCAUCGACUGUGAGCGUCAGCUGGUGACUAUACGAGACCAUAGUGGGGGAGUUCUUUCGGUGUACGGCGAGGGUACCCGUUCGGGAUCAGCUUUUUGUUCGGCCGCUAGGGCGAGGCAGUGUCUACAGCAGGGCUGUAAGGGUUUUGUGGCGUAUGUGAUGGAUACGCGGGAGGUUUCCGAGAGACCGAAGUCAGUUGAGGAGGUCCCUGUGGUGCGUGAGUUUCCAGAUGUUUUCCCCGAGGAGCUGCCGGGAGUACCUCCUGUGAGGCAAGUAGAGUUUGGUAUCGAUCUGGUUCCGGGGGCCGCGCCUAUUGCUAAAGUGCCUUAUCGUCUUGCACCUCCAGAGAUGCAAGAGUUGUCCUCGCAGCUCCAGGAGUUGCUGGGGAAGGGAUUCAUUCGGCCGAGCAGCUCGCCGUGGGGAGCACCUAUUCUGUUCGUCAAGAAGAAGGAUGGUUCACACCGGAUGUGCAUUGAUUACCGGGAGUUGAACAAGUUGACGGUCAAGAACCGUUACCCGUUACCGAGGAUCGAUGAUUUAUUCGAUCAGUUGCAGGGAGCGUCUUGGUUUUCCAAGAUCGAUCUGAGGUCAGGGUACCAUCAGGUGAGAGUGCGGGAUGAGGAUGUCCAGAAGACAGCGUUUAGGACGCGAUAUGGGCAUUAUGAGUUUGUGGUGAUGCCUUUCGGGCUCACCAAUGCCCCGGCUGUGUUCAUGGAUCUCAUGAACAGGGUAUGCAGGCCGAUGUUGGAUCGGUCAGUGAUUGUAUUUAUCGACGACAUUCUGGUGUAUUCGAGAUCUAGAGAGCAGCAUGAGGAGCAUUUGAGGGAGGUCCUUGAGGUAUUGAGGUCGGAGAAGCUUUAUGCAAAGUUCUCCAAAUGUGACUUCUGGUUGCGGGAGGUCCAAUUUCUAGGACAUGUUGUUAAUCAGAAAGGGAUAUUGGUCGAUCCGGCCAAGGUUGAGGCGGUGAUGAGUUGGGAGGUGCCGAAGUCACCCUCUGAGAUCAGGAGCUUCCUUGGGUUGGCAGGGUAUUAUCGGAGAUUCAUUAAGGAUUUCUCCAAGAUCGCAGUGCCGCUCACCAGAUUGACCCGGAAGGGUGUUGCAUUCUCAUGGGGGCCCGAGCAGCAGACCUCCUUUGAGACACUUCGCCAGAGGUUGUGCGAAGCCCCGGUAUUAGCUCUCCCGGAAGGGAUGGAAGAUUUUGUAGUAUAUUGCGACGCAUCGAUUUCGGGACUGGGUGCAGUGUUGAUGCAGAGGGGUCAUGUGAUAGCGUAUGCGUCGAGGCAGCUGAAGCCUCAUGAGGCGAGAUAUCCCACGCAUGAUUUAGAGUUGGGGGCAGUAGUGUUCGCUCUCAAGAUUUGGCGUCACUACCUGUAUGGGGUUCGAUGUACGAUAUACACGGACCAUAAGAGCUUGAAGUAUUUGAUGGAUCAGCCCAACCUAAAUAUGCGUCAGAGGAGGUGGUUGGAUGUGGUCAAGGAUUAUGAUUGUGAGAUCCUGUACCACCCAGGCAAGGCUAAUGUGGUAGCCGAUGCAUUGAGCCGCAGGGCGGAGAGCACUCCAUUGCGAGAUGUAUGCUUGAGACUGACUGUGAUGACUCCAGUAUUGGAUGCUAUUCGUGGGGCACAGGCCGAGGCUGUGCGACCAGAGAUGCAGAAGAAAGAGCGGGUUGUUGGGUUAAUUUCAGAGUUCGUUAAGGAUGGACGAGGGCUUCUGACGUUUCAGGGUCGGAUUUGGGUACCGUUCGUGGGCGGUACGCGUAUUACUUUGAUGGAAGAGGCUCAUAGAUCGAAAUUCUCGAUCCAUCCCGGUGCUACGAAGAUGUAUUUGGAUUUGAGGAAAGAGUAUUGGUGGCCCUGUAUGAAGAGGGACGUCGCAUGGUUCGUUGAGAGGUGCUUGACCUGCCGUAGGGUUAAGGCCGAGCACCAGAGACCGCAUGGCAAGUUACAGCCAUUGGAGAUUCCCGAGUGGAAGUGGGAACAGAUCACUAUGGAUUUCAUCACCAAAUUGCCGAGGACUGCCAGGGGAGUUGAUGCAAUUUGGGUGAUUGUGGAUAGGUUGACGAAGAGUGCACACUUCCUUGCCAUCAGCGAGAGUUCUUCAGCGGAGAAGUUGGCGGAGAUAUAUGUGAGAGAAGUGGUAUCUCGGCAUGGGGUGCCGAUCUCGAUUGUUUCAGACCGUGAUGUACGCUUCACUUCCAGGUUCUGGAAGAAAUUCCAUGAGGAGCUGGGUACUAAAUUGCAUUUUAGUACCGCAUACCAUCCCCAGACAGACGGUCAGAGCGAGCGGACGAUUCAGACGCUGGAGGACAUGCUUCGAGCGUGUGUGUUAGACUUCGGGGGUAGCUGGGAUGCGUAUUUACCCUUGGCAGAGUUUUCCUACAACAACAGCCAUCAUUCGAGCAUUGGUAUGCCACCUUUUGAGCUGUUGUAUGGUAGGAGGUGUCGGACCCCCAUUUGCUGGGGAGAGGUGGGACAGAGAGUGAUGGGCAGCACAGAGAUCGUGCUUCAGACGACAGAGCAGAUUCAGCAAGUUAGACAGAGGUUAUUGACCGCCCAGAGCCGACAGAAGAGUUAUGCAGACAGGCGCCGAUCCGAGCUUGAGUUUCAAGUCGGCGACUUCGUUCUCCUGAAGGUCUCUCCUUGGAAAGGAGUGAUUCGAUUCAGGAAGAGGGGCAAGUUGGGGCCCCGGUAUAUUGGGCCAUUUCGUGUGAUUGCAAGGAUAGGCCGGGUAGCCUAUCGGUUGGAGUUGCCAGCGG
Molecule: long non-coding RNA, 8087 nt
Filed under: Lactuca sativa (garden lettuce)
Lineage: Eukaryota; Viridiplantae; Streptophyta; Magnoliopsida; Asterales; Asteraceae
Description: long non-coding RNA (LSAT_LNC002343)
Source: RNAcentral